GCUGGUCCCAGGAACUGUAUAGGACAGAACUUUGCUACAAAUGAAAUAAAAGUGAUGCUGUGUCAGGUUGUUCGGAGAUUUCACAUCAAGGUAGAUCCAGAUAAACCUGCAGUGCCUUUUCCGGAGGUCGUUCUCCGAGCAGAAAAUGGCCUCCAUCUGAAAUUCUCCAGCAGGAAGAACACAUGAAACCGCGGCUUCAGAACAGAAUUCUGUGAUACAGAUAUUUGAACAUCCUACGGACUGCACAGAUCAUGUUCUGACCAGUUGUGUGUCUGUCGUCAGAUAGUUAAUUCUGCUAAUAAUAAAUCUGCAGGGCCGGAUGGUGUUGCUGCUGAAUUCUUAAAGGCUUCUAGUCAUCUCAUUGUACCAUAUCUUACUCAGCUUUUAAUCAUAUUCUUGAUAGUGGUAAAUUUCCAUCUUGUUGGGGUAAAAGCAUUAUUUGUCCUGUUCAUAAGUCUGGUUGUAGAGAUGAUACUAAUAAUUACAGAGGAAUUUCUCUCAUAGAUUCUACUUGUAAAGUGUUUAUGUCAAUUCUUAAUCGACGCCUCCAGCGAUGGUGUGAAGUUCAUGAUAUUAUCAGUGAAUCACAGUCUGGUUUCAGGGCUGAUUAUUCAACAAUUGACCAAAUUUUUUCAUUGCAGUCGUUAAUUCAAAAAUAUAUUAGCAAAAAAAGGGGUAGAUUUUAUUGUCUCUUUGUAGAUUUUGCCAAGGCUUUUGAUACUCUAAGGCAUGAUGUUCUUCUAAAGUCACUUUAUGAAGCUGGUAUACGAGGUAAAUUUCUU
This is a long non-coding RNA of Haliotis rubra (blacklip abalone), 782 nucleotides long. RefSeq lists it as uncharacterized. The record is from RefSeq and is a predicted model, not a curated record. NCBI's taxonomy places the organism in Eukaryota, Metazoa, Mollusca, Gastropoda, Lepetellida, Haliotidae. The transcript is spliced from 3 exons.